This 434-nucleotide ribosomal RNA is filed under the name uncultured bacterium. RNAcentral's name for it is "bacterial SSU rRNA". It matches the Rfam family "Bacterial small subunit ribosomal RNA", at positions 29 to 507 of the family's 1533-position model. The record is from RNAcentral.
AACGAACGCUGGCGGCAGGCCUAACACAUGCAAGUCGAACGCCCUAGCAAUAGGGAGUGGCAGACGGGUGAGUAACACGUGGGAACCUUCCCUAUAGUAUGGAAUAGCCCAGGGAAACUUGGAGUAAUACCGUAUACGCCCGAGAGGGGAAAGAUUUAUCGCUAUAGGAUGGGCCCGCGUAGGAUUAGCUAGUUGGUGAGGUAAUGGCUCACCAAGGCGACGAUCCUUAGCUGGUCUGAGAGGACGACCAGCCACACUGGGACUGAGACACGGCCCAGACUCCUACGGGAGGCAGCAGUGGGGAAUAUUGGACAAUGGGCGCAAGCCUGAUCCAGCCAUGCCGCGUGAGUGAUGAAGGCCUUAGGGUUGUAAAGCUCUUUUGCCGGGGGACGAUAAUGACGGUACCCGGAGAAUAAGUCCCGGCUAACUUCGUG